GGUGAACCUGCGGAGGGAUCAUUACACAACAAAAUAUGAAGGCCUGGCUUCGCGGCCGGCUGAAAUAUUUUUUUCACCCAUGUCUUUUGCGCACUUGUUGUUUCCUGGGCGGGUUCGCCCGCCACCAGGACCAAACCAUAAACCUUUUUUUUAUGCAGUUGCAAUCAGCGUCAGUAAAAACAAUGUAAUUAUUACAACUUUCAACAACGGAUCUCUUGGUUCUGGCAUCGAUGAAGAACGCAGCGAAAUGCGAUACGUAGUGUGAAUUGCAGAAUUCAGUGAAUCAUCGAAUCUUUGAACGCACAUUGCGCCCUUUGGUAUUCCAAAGGGCAUGCCUGUUCGAGCGUCAUUUGUACCUUCAAGCUUUGCUUGGUGUUGGGCGUUUUUUGUCUCCCUCUUUCUGGGAGACUCGCCUUAAAACGAUUGGCAGCCGGCCUACUGGUUUCGGAGCGCAGCACAUAUUUUGCGCUUUGUAUCAGGAGAAAAGGACGGUAAUCCAUCAAGACUCUACAUUUUUAACUUUUGACCUCGGAUCAGGGUAGGAUACCCGCUGAACUUAAGCAUAUCAAUAAGCGGAGGAA
RNAcentral lists this ribosomal RNA (581 nucleotides) under Bipolaris sorokiniana. Its description in RNAcentral is "eukaryotic LSU rRNA". The stretch from base 196 to 349 matches the Rfam family "5.8S ribosomal RNA". The record is from RNAcentral. Lineage: Eukaryota; Fungi; Ascomycota; Dothideomycetes; Pleosporales; Pleosporaceae.